GCCUCUGUGGAUCAGGGUAGAUCACCUCGAGAUUGUACGAAGCCAACUUUGACAAAAAUUGAGGAGGAAAUGUGGGUUCAAAUCCCACCGGAGGCA
This is a non-coding RNA of Mycena metata, 96 nucleotides long. The record is from the annotation of a GenBank genome assembly. NCBI's taxonomy places the organism in Eukaryota, Fungi, Basidiomycota, Agaricomycetes, Agaricales, Mycenaceae.